CAAGUUCUAAUUGGUUUCCCC
RNAcentral lists this non-coding RNA (21 nucleotides) under Arabidopsis thaliana (thale cress). Lineage: Eukaryota; Viridiplantae; Streptophyta; Magnoliopsida; Brassicales; Brassicaceae. The record is from RNAcentral.